AAGAGUACAAAGCUGUGCUUAUUGGAGGUCGACCAUCCUUGGCCCAGAACAUUGCGGGAACUCCUCAGCUUGGCGUUCUAGAUCCUACCAUCUUCAGCCAUGUCCUCAAUGAUCUUCCUGCCAUUGUCAAUUCAAAAAACUGAACCCUUCGAGAAACUCGGCGGCACACAGUGGUGCAAGCAAGUUAAGCUGCUGCCUCCCAGCACUAAGUCCAAUGCUGAACCCCAGUGCUAUCUAUGUGGAGUCUGCCUGUGAACACAUAGGUUUCCUCUGGAUCCUCCAAUUUUCUACCCACAUUCAAAAGAUGUAUAGACCAGCAGGUCUAUUGGCCACUGUAAGUUGUCCCUGGUGCAUAGGUGAGUGGCGGAGCCUAUGGAGAGUUCAUGAGAAGAGAAGUCAAAUCGGGAAGAAACACGUCCUGGAAGAGCAGCACAGUGGUGCAGCAGUAGAGUUGGUGCCUUACAACACUAGAGUCCCAAGUUCGAUCCUGACUGCGGGUGCUGUCUGUACGGAAUUUGACGUUCUCCCCAUGACCACGUGGGCUUUCUCUGGGUGCUCUGGUUUCCUUCCACACUCCAAAGACGUACAGGUUUGUAGAUGAAUUGACUUCUGUAAAUUGUCCCUAGCGUGUAGGAUAAAGCUAGUGUGUGGGGUGAUCACUGGUCCGCACGGACUCGGCGGGCCGAAGGGCCUGCUUCCACUCAGUAUCUCUAAAGAAAAGUAGAAGGUCACCCAUUCCAGCUAUCCAAAGAUGCUGCCUGAGUCACUCCAGCGUUUUGUAUCUAUCCUCGGUGUAAACCAGCAUCUGAAGUUCUAUCCAGCACAUUUUGUGCUGCCUGACCCGCUGAGUUGCCCCAGCACUUUGUGUCUAUCUUUGGUAUAAACUAGCAUCUGCGGUUUUUGAUUUCUGAACUUAUCCACUCCUCAGUUUAAAUCUGAGCUCAAGCACUUUCGAACAACGGUCCCACGACAAUUAUCAGAGAUUCCAAACUCUGUCCACCUUUUAUUUUCGCGUCCUUGCCCAGGGACUCUGAGGACCAGCAGGAACAACAUUAUCCCAGCCCCUGCUGGAGAUUCGCUCAAAGAUGAUUGACAUGUCUGCGGGACUCAGUCACUCUGACCAAAACAAAAAUAACCACUGAUUUUUGUUUUGUUCAAAUAUUUAUAAAUUAUUUGUAUCCAGCAUGCGGGAAGCGUUGAUUAUCCAUGCCUUCACGAGUCACUUCACUCUGGGUGCGUUGGUGUGUGAGUGGAUGGCUCACAGUCAAGGUACAGCAAGGAAUCCAACACCUAGUUUGUGAUUGUGAGUCCCAAUUAUCCAGUGCCACAGCCUGAGGAAAUGAUGGGAUUAUUCCAUGAUGGCAAAGACACCUUACCAGCGGCUAAGUCCUGACCUGCAACUCAAAUAUUGGUUAAUGGUGUAGCAUCGACUAAUUGUCACUUGGAGACAUCUCGGAAUUGCCAGCUACUGAAAACAGCAAUAACUCAAGUAACCCUUACCGUGCUGAAUAAACAGUCGCUCCCUCCGGUUACAAAGCAGUCGGGCUGCGCAGUUGGACCUCACCCCACCCCUCUUUUUGCCCACCUUCCAAAUCCACUCUCCCCUGCCACUCCCCCGCCAUUGAAGAGAUCUACAGGAGGUACUGCCUCAAAAAGGGAGCCAAUAUCAUCAAAGACCCACACCACCCUGGCCAUGCUCUCAUCUCGCUGUUAUCAUCGGGAGGAAGGUAUAAGAGCCUGAAAACCUUAAUCCUCCCGGUUCAAAAAUAGUUUCUUCCCAACUAUCAGGCUCUUGAACACUGCACAACACAAACUAAACUAUGAAUUAUGGGCAGUCUUUGGUUGCACGAAGAACUUCAGGCUUUUUUGCAUUAGUAUUGGGAUUAUUAAUUUAUUGAUAUUUUUUAUUUACUAUGAUGUGUAUGAGUGCUAUGUUUACAGAUCCGUUAAUUGUUUUGUUUUCAGUACAUAUAACAAGAUGAUGCCUGUCCUGCUGAGUUACUCCAGCAUUUUGUGUCUAACCAGCAUCUGCAGUUCCUUCCUGCAUGUGACAAUUAAGGUCUUAAGGACAUAAGGAAUAGGAGCAGUAUUAGGCCAUUUGGCCCAUCAAGUCUACUCCACCAUUCAAUCAUGGCUGAACUAUCUCUCCCUCCGAGACCCAUUCUCCUCAUAACCUUAAACACACUUGACGUAACUCUUGAAACCUGAUCUCUAUCUUUACUCUAAACUGUAUCUCCCUUGUCCUCCUGCCGUCUCUGUGUGGUCAACUGAACCUGUUCAUUCCAGUUCACCUCGCCAUUCCUGAGCUUCAACUACCUUCACCCUCACCAAUGCAGUCAUAGACAACAUCUCCAGUAUGGUUCCCGUUCACUUCAAUAGAUCUGGUGUCACCCACAGAUCAAUCCAUGGCCCGCCCUCACUUCCUGCUGCCUACCCAAUGACAUCCCACAAGGUCCUAUCUCAUCUUCCACCGCAGGAUGCAGCUGCCCCGUCUGCCACUUCUUGCUACUGAUGCACGUGUAAAGCAUUCAGCCCUGAACGAGUGUAAUUAAGCUUGUUAACAACCGUCAGCUUCCAACAGAAACUGUAGAUGUUUGUCACAGGUUUAGGCUUAAGGUUAUUAUUGCCACGUUUACCGAGGUACAGAGAAAAGCUUUGUUCUGCAUGCGAUGCAAACAGAUCAGACAAUACUGUGCAUAGAUACAAUGCAUAGUGUUUGUGCACUUCAAGUAUAAUAGGUGGACCAAAGGCUAGCACAAGUACAAGCAAAGACUUGUAAAAGUACAUACAAAGUACCAGUACAAGUACAAGCGAUGGUAGGUAAAGGUCUUGCCAAGUACUAGUACCAGGUCAUAA
Leucoraja erinaceus (little skate) is the source of this 2856-nucleotide long non-coding RNA. RefSeq lists it as uncharacterized. NCBI's taxonomy places the organism in Eukaryota, Metazoa, Chordata, Chondrichthyes, Rajiformes, Rajidae. The transcript is spliced from 3 exons. The record is from RefSeq and is a predicted model, not a curated record.